This is a long non-coding RNA of Eucalyptus grandis, 784 nucleotides long. RefSeq lists it as uncharacterized. Lineage: Eukaryota; Viridiplantae; Streptophyta; Magnoliopsida; Myrtales; Myrtaceae. The record is from RefSeq and is a predicted model, not a curated record. The transcript is spliced from 3 exons.
AAUUUCACUUCGAAUAAAAGAAGCAGAAGCGAAGCUCCCUGCCUGCGCCCAACACGGCGCCAUGGAUCUUAGCCGAUCGUCUCUAUCCUCGUCGAUUUCAUCCAAGUGGGAUAUAGGGGAAGUCGACUUCGCCCUUUGAAACACACCCCGUCGCCAUCGGCGUUGCCAUCUGCAGCCUGCUCCUGCGUUUCUUGUUGCUGCGUCUCGCUGAUCGGGCACCACCAUCUAGCGGCCGUGCUCCUUCUCGGGAUGGAGCAUGGCACCUCUUCAUCAACUUCGUCGGUUCGAUAUUGGUGGCUUCGUUCGCGUGGUUGCUGCUUCAUGACUCCUCCCACUCCGUCCCCUGGUUGUUCGUGCUGCUCCUGCUUUCCCGUGGUCUCCCGGUCGUGGAUCAGCGUUUAAGGCCGCAUGUCUAAGCUAGUUUUGUAUAAGAUGCACUCGGGCCUUCCGUUUAUAUGAAAACAUAAGGAGUCCCCAAGCCUUCGGCAUCAUCAAAUUAUCUCCCAACCAUAAGAAAGGAGAGCAGGGGACAAGUACAAACCACCUAUGAACGGUGAUGGACCUUGUAGCGACUAGAUCUGAUUAAGAUAAGCUAAGCCCUCAAAAGAAAUUGGGAUCUACUGUUAUUGAAGAGAUCGAAGAUAACCUCAGCAAUCGUUUUGACGAGUAGGUCUACUCUAGUAGCCAAAAUGUGGGAGUCAUUACAUCAUAUAGUCUUCAUUUGACCUCUGAGAGGUGACAACUAGAUCUUUGCUGUGGCAAAAGCAUUAACUUGCAAUCUAAG